GUUACUACUUAUUAUAUUAGCGUUACCAGGAAUUCUGUCUUCAGUGUUCAGAAACCAGAUUUAAAUGUUCACGAAGGAUGAAAAACGUUCUGAGGAUUUGUCUGUUUUUCCUAAAUAAACACAGGUCGAAUUAAUUUCCCAUCGACUUCAGAUCAGUAAGGCUAGAUAGUGACGAUUUUGUCACGGUUUGGUAAAUUUACCCCUUUAAGAGGCUUUUCAUAAAUCCCAGAACACACCUUCGGCCAGAUUUGAAUAUAGAUUUACGUUUUAAACCCUGCUGAAGCCGAGAGCACCGCUUCAUUAAAAGGGACUUUUCCUGUAGCUCUGGGGGACUGUGCUGGAAUGAGUCCUUAAAGGCUGGACCUAAAAGAAUGAAACGCUUCUGUCGCACUCAGUCUCACAGACUGCAGUUCUGGGCCAGUUUUUGUUUGCAGGGUGUGCUGCAGAACUGUAAGGGAAUGACCUUUUUCACAUUUGCUGGUGUUGUUCCUAAAUGAAAGUUUUCAGCUAGAAAUAGCUCUUUCAUUUGGCUUGACUCUCAAAUCCAGAUUUCUCAGAGCUGCUACAGUAAGAAAACAGAUAAGCAACAGAGCAGGUUUGCACACGAGUGCACUGCAAAACCAAGGGGUUGUGCUCUUAAUGUCUGACACUUCUGGAUUUCUCUUUGCAUUUUCUUCUUUGCGAAAUGAAAGUGGUCGAACAGGUCUGGCAAAAUAGUUCAUAAAUGUGAAGAUAUGAAAAAAAUCUCUUAACAGCGAAUAAGAAAACUGAAGCUAAUCUUCAUUCGGCUCAUGGCUAUAUCAGGAAUUCUCUGCAAAGUGUGGCUAGCAGUAUAAAACAGAACUACUGUGUAAAAGUAACAAGACAAGCGUGCAAUAAUAAAAGCACGUAAAAUACAGUGAACUACUUCUGACGAAAAAGAAGUGACGAUGUGUCAUCACUAUCUUCUGAAUAAGCAGAGCAGUCAGAUUUUCAAUGUAAACAUACAAUAAGGCUUUCAUAAAGGGUUAAAUAAUAAGCCAAUUGUGAUUAUGAAAGUGAUUUUAUAUGCAUAGUGUGCACCCAAUGAAUAUCCAGAGAUAAUACCUUGUGAUACAGACGGACCUGUAAAGGUGGGUGCAUUGAGUGCGCAUACCUCAAAAAGUAUCUGUGUACAAACUUCUUUAGUAAAGUAAAAUAAAAUCCAUGGGCUUUGCUUCCAG
This is a long non-coding RNA of Protopterus annectens (West African lungfish), 1202 nucleotides long. RefSeq lists it as uncharacterized. Lineage: Eukaryota; Metazoa; Chordata; Ceratodontiformes; Protopteridae. The transcript is spliced from 2 exons. The record is from RefSeq and is a predicted model, not a curated record.